UUUUGAGAAGCUUUUUCUCUUUCUCUGAAACUCUCCCUAGAAGCUUCUACCUAACCGACUCAUCUUCAUCUUCUUCUUCAAUUUUCGUCUGGAUUUCUUGAUGUUUUCAUGGUAUCAAAGCAGGACGAUGAUCCAACGAUACUUUCCUGUUUUUUGUAUCUCAUUCGAAAUCUCGCUGGAAAUUUUUGGGUGUUUCUGAGAUAUUUGGUCAAUGAUGAUUCCGAUCUAAAUCGGGUGUUGAUCUGAGACUUUUAUCACGAUAACUGGU
Molecule: long non-coding RNA, 268 nt
Filed under: Nicotiana benthamiana
Lineage: Eukaryota; Viridiplantae; Streptophyta; Magnoliopsida; Solanales; Solanaceae
Description: long non-coding RNA (NBEN_LNC011417)
Source: RNAcentral